UGAUAUUCUCAGGGCGGGGUGUAAUUCCCCACCGGCGGUAACCAAUUAAGGGAGUCCGCGAGCGUUUUUCUUAUGAAAGAGUCAGCAGAUCUGGUGAAAAUCCAGAACCGACGGUAAUAGUCCGGAUGAAAGAGAAUACGA
RNAcentral lists this non-coding RNA (141 nucleotides) under Desulfovibrio litoralis. RNAcentral's name for it is "FMN sequence". It matches the Rfam family "FMN riboswitch aptamer (RFN element)". Rfam says of the family: The RFN element is a highly conserved domain that is found frequently in the 5'-untranslated regions of prokaryotic mRNAs that encode for flavin mononucleotide (FMN) biosynthesis and transport proteins. This element is a metabolite-dependent riboswitch that directly binds FMN in the absence of proteins. Lineage: Bacteria; Pseudomonadati; Thermodesulfobacteriota; Desulfovibrionia; Desulfovibrionales; Desulfovibrionaceae. RNAcentral also lists the same sequence under 1 other name. The record is from RNAcentral.